Molecule: non-coding RNA, 668 nt
Organism: Lolium perenne
Lineage: Eukaryota; Viridiplantae; Streptophyta; Magnoliopsida; Poales; Poaceae
Source: RefSeq, a predicted model, not a curated record
CUAAGUCGUUUCACGUUUAAUAUCUGAUUUUUUCUUGCCUGCUAGAGAGAAUGUGACCGUGGAUUUGUAGUGAAAAUGUUGAGGCCGUUGAUUCAGAGAUGUUGAUAGAUGCCAGUUCUAGAGAGCCUCUAGUUGCCUUCGUCAUGUGACGCACCUACAAGAAGCAGGAUUGUUUCUGCUAUUUUGUGUCUUUGUGUGAUGUGAUUUUUGUUUGGCUCAGGCUGUUAGGAUCUGUGCAGCCGGUUGAGCUUAUUAUGGAGAAUGGGCGGCGUUUUGAGUCCAAGGAAGCUUUGGCCGUAACUGUAGCUGACAUAUGGCAAUGAUGAAUCCGCAUAUUUCCACAGUGCCUUCAUUGCUUUUCCCUUUUCAUCUUGUGUUUGGUAGUGUGUAUGCUCACUGGUGGUGUGUGAUGGCUGUAGUUGGAAAGCACUUGAGGAAGGUAUUGGAUAAAGGUGUACCUAAGGAAAAGUGGUAGCAGGCAUUCGAGUCUCAGGACAAAGAUUCGGUGGAGUAUAUCUUGGGGCAGUGUGUCUUCACUAGGCAUGCUUGUUUACAAGGAGUUGGGCUACAGAUACCUGAACCGCAAGGCAAAUGGUGCGCUUGAGGAUUGGUGGCUGCAAUCCACAGAUAUAGUGCAAAAGUAAGACAAGAAAAUUUGACACGCUGGU